UACGUAGGGUGCAAGCGUUGUCCGGAAUUAUUGGGCGUAAAGAGCUCGUAGGCGGUCUGUCGCGUCGGCUGUGAAAACCCGAGGCUCAACCUCGGGCCUGCAGUCGAUACGGGCAAACUAGAGUACUGCAGGGGAGACUGGAAUUCCUGGUGUAGCGGUGAAAUGCGCAGAUAUCAGGAGGAACACCGGUGGCGAAGGCGGAUCUCCGGGCCUGUUCUGACGCUGAGGCGCGAAAGCUAGGGGAGCGAACAGG
Molecule: ribosomal RNA, 253 nt
Filed under: uncultured bacterium
Lineage: Bacteria
Description: partial 16S ribosomal RNA
Rfam family: Bacterial small subunit ribosomal RNA
Source: RNAcentral